Molecule: long non-coding RNA, 448 nt
Organism: Ictalurus punctatus (channel catfish)
Lineage: Eukaryota; Metazoa; Chordata; Actinopteri; Siluriformes; Ictaluridae
Source: Ensembl
GUUACUACACUCAGAUUACUACACUCAGGUUACUACACUCAGGUUACUACACUCGGAUUACUACACUCGGAUUACUACACUCAGAUUACUACACUCAGAUUACUACACUCAGGUUACUACACUCAGGUUACUACACUCAGAUUACUACACUCAGGUUACUACACUCAGGUUACUACACUCGGAUUACUACACUCAGAUUACUACACUCAGAUUACUACACUCAGAUUACUACACUCGGGUUACUACACUCAGAUUACUACACUCGGGUUACUACACUCGGGUUACUACACUCGGGUUAGUACACUCGGGUUACUACACUCGGGUUACUACACUCGGGUUACUACACUCGGGUUAGUACACUCGGGUUACUACACUCGGGUUACUACACUCGGAGUACUACACUCGGGUUAGUACACUCGGGUUACUACACUCGGGUUACUACACUCGG